GAUGAACGCUGGCGGCGUGCUUAACACAUGCAAGUCGAGCGAACGGACGCGACGCUUGUUUCUCUGUCGUUAGCGGCGGACGGGUGAGUAACACGUGUAUAACCUACCUAUAAGACUGGGAUAACUUCGGGAAACCGGAUCUAAUACCGUAUAAUAUUCUGAACCGCAUGGGUCAUAAGUGAAAGUCGGCCUUGCUGUCUCUUAUCGCUGGUUCCGGGCUGGAUUAGGUGGUUGGUAAGGUAACGGCUUAUCAAGGCAACGAUGCAUUGCCGACCGGAGAGAGUGGUCGCCCACACUGGAGCUGAGACACGGUCCAGGCUCCUGCGAGAGGGAGCAGUAGGGAAUCUGCCGCAGUGGGCGAAAGCCUGACAGAGCAGCGCCGCGUGUGUUGUGGAGGUCUUCGGAUCGUAAAACUCUGUUAUUAGGGAAGAACAGAUGUGUAAGUAACCGUGCACAUCUUGACGGUACCUAAUCAGAAAGCCCCGGCUAACUACGUG
RNAcentral lists this ribosomal RNA (497 nucleotides) under uncultured bacterium. RNAcentral describes it as "partial 16S ribosomal RNA". It matches the Rfam family "Bacterial small subunit ribosomal RNA", at positions 28 to 507 of the family's 1533-position model. The record is from RNAcentral.